This 576-nucleotide long non-coding RNA is filed under the name Homo sapiens (human). RNAcentral describes it as "HSALNT0185593". The record is from RNAcentral. Lineage: Eukaryota; Metazoa; Chordata; Mammalia; Primates; Hominidae.
CAAUUACCGGCGUCGCCCGCGUCCUCCUAACGCUCCUUCACAAGAUGGCAAAGAGGCAGGUGAAGCACCAACUGAGAACCCUGCUCCACCCACCCAGCAGAGCAGUGCUGAGUAACACCAGGCUCCUCAGGCACCUUCACCAUCGGCAGGUGACCUAAAGAAUUAAUGACCAUUCAGAAAUAAAGCAAAAAGCAGGCCACAACCUUAACCAACACCAAAGAAACAUCCAAGCAAUAAAGUGGAAGACUAACCAAGAUUUGGACAUUGGAAUGUUUACUGUUAUUCUUUAAGAAACAACUACAAAAAGAAAAUGUCAACAAAUUUUUCCAGCAAGCUGAGAACCUGGGAAUUCCUGCACGGAAGACAAGAGAGUAGCCUCUCCAGUUUCAGCAACCGCUAGGUUUCUAUUUUUUUUCCUGGUUUUUACUGUUUUGGUAAUAUAUAUAUUGAAACAAGAAAUAUUAAUACCACAUGGGGAGAACCCCAACCAAAGAAAUCUGAAAUAUAUAGUAAAUGCUUUUUUUUCCGUUUUUGUUCAUUUUGGAUGCUGGUGCUAAACCUCCAAGUGUCAUGAUU